This is a long non-coding RNA of Onychostoma macrolepis, 1296 nucleotides long. RefSeq lists it as uncharacterized. The transcript has 3 exons. Lineage: Eukaryota; Metazoa; Chordata; Actinopteri; Cypriniformes; Cyprinidae. The record is from RefSeq and is a predicted model, not a curated record.
CAUCUUUCACCCAGCCACCUCCACCUCAGCAGCUGUCACAUGCCUGUAGUCCAGCGUUUCCUCUCAAAGAGUGACCUGCUCAAUGAAACAAAGGCGGCAGAUUAGUGAUCAAGGAAUUGAGGCCUGUUCACUCCUAGAGUGAUAAUGAUAACUAGGGGUGGGUGAUAUCACCAAACUGUAUCACGAUAUCACCUACAUUAUAUAUCACAAUAUAAAUUUGUUUUCUUUAAAUAGGGUCUUUAUGAUAUUCGACAUGAAUAUCCGAUAUGAAUUCGGCAGGCAAAACACCAUCAUCACUAGGAAUCGGGAAAUUAGGGAGUGGAAUUCGUUUCCCCAAUGGACCCACCUCCGAUUCAUUCAAGUUCGUUAACUUGAACACGUGAAUUCACCGCAUUGAUCAUAAGCUGCCUGAUUCGGAUAGCAUGACUUCACGCAUCGCUACAUUAUUGAAAUGGAAUCCACGAGUUAUGUGACCGACUCGAGAACAAGUUCAGAUGGAAACUUCAUCCCCAAGAAGGAUAUCAACAGAUCAGCAUCCUCGCCACGGCUUCUAUGUUUCACUCUCUCGAACGUCUUCACAAGUUAAUGCUCUCAGGUUAUUAGCAACAUGCGUGUUGCUAUGGCUAUCCGCGUUGCUUAGGCUCAUUUAGUUGUUUAGUUGGCAAUGUGCGGUACUAUGUUACUGGCAUACACUUGUCGUUGCAAUAUGCUGCGCAUAAAGGGGGAUACAAUGCCCCUUUACAGCAGUUUCAGUGUUUAUGGAACUGCAUUUGUAAAAUUGGAUAUACAGUCACUUUACACAGAAAAGGAGCAUCUGGGACGUUCAGAUAAGAUGCUGUAUGUUCUGACUUGUUGUGUGGGACCUGCCAAUGAAUGAACCCUUGCGAAACAAGUGAACAGAAUAUCUUGGCACGCAGCUACCUAGCCUGCGAUAGCCCGCGACAGGAAGCUUUCCCAUCCAAUGCUCAUGAUUAAGCAGGGAGACUCAUGUUUUGGGUGAUGAUACACCAUCCUCCACUGCUGCCUGGUGAGAGCUCUUGGCAAACGCGCCCCACCCCGUCCCACGCAUCUCAUGCUCUCUUCUGGUGCCACCCACCCAUCGUCUAUGGGGUCCGGUCUGUAUCCUGCAGCUCUACGUCUCUAGGACUUCUGCUCCCUCUACCCCUCAGAUUGAUGCAUCAUGCCCACGAGUGGAUUUGUCAAAGAAAUGCCAGCGGCAGUUUGUCUGUCACCAUCAGAUUGAUCUGUUCAUUUUUCCCAUCACUAAUGCACUACAAGUAGUGCCUUAACACAGUG